Molecule: long non-coding RNA, 400 nt
Organism: Bombina bombina (fire-bellied toad)
Lineage: Eukaryota; Metazoa; Chordata; Amphibia; Anura; Bombinatoridae
Exons: 4
Source: RefSeq, a predicted model, not a curated record
UGCAGCUUACCCUUUCAACAGAGCUAAACUGGGAGCUUCUAAUGGGUGCCUCAACCUGUGGUCCAACUCAAAAUAUUUGUGGUUUUGAUGUGGAGAACUAUCCAAACACCAAAGAAACCCUAUAGUAAUUUGUGAUACUGAAGAAGAACCACUGACCACAAGGGAAGAAUAACCUCCUGUCACAAGGAUACAAACAUUCAUGCCACCACCACCCUUCAGGCAACUGCAAGAACAGUAUGCUCCCAGUCAUGAGCAUGGUUGGAUGUGGUGGUGAUGCCACCACCAUUGCCAUAUGACCCCUGGCAAGAUUCCUGGCCAGAGGAAUAUCCUCCCUUUGGCUUUGAGGGGGAGCCAAGACAUCCACAAAGGGUCCAUGUAUUUACCCCCCCCCCCCACAACA